Molecule: non-coding RNA, 71 nt
Organism: Gilliamella sp.
Lineage: Bacteria; Pseudomonadati; Pseudomonadota; Gammaproteobacteria; Orbales; Orbaceae
Source: Rfam
UAGCACGCCAAACAGGGAUGUUUGGCGAGGCUAUGCUUCGCCGGGAGCGAAUCAUAGCCGGUGCGUCAAGA